Molecule: long non-coding RNA, 281 nt
Filed under: Coturnix japonica (Japanese quail)
Lineage: Eukaryota; Metazoa; Chordata; Aves; Galliformes; Phasianidae
Description: lncRNA (ENSCJPG00005013228.1)
Source: RNAcentral
AACUGCCCACACUAAAACACUUUGAUUUCGUAUUCCAGAUUCCAACCAGACCUCUGUUUUUCAAACUCCUUUUUUUAAAAAAAGCAAUGAAGUUGAAGAAAGCUGAGUGUCUUUGUUUCAGGACAAGGGCCCUGCAGAGCCCCCUUUGACCACCAGAGGUCAGAAGCAAAACAUCGCAUCUCCACCACUGAACCCUCAUUUCCUCUGUCGCUGUCCUGGAGAGGGAGAAGCAAAGGAAUCAGCAGAAAUGCCGCUUCAUUCACAGAGAGGAUGGAGACAGU